GCGGAGACGAGGGAAGCGACGAUCUUCCGCGAAAGGUCUUGAAAACCGUCGUGAGGUAACCCCUCACCGUGGGUUCAAAUCCCACAGCCUCCGCCCCA
RNAcentral lists this transfer RNA (98 nucleotides) under Streptomyces calidiresistens. Its description in RNAcentral is "tRNA-OTHER". The record is from RNAcentral. Lineage: Bacteria; Bacillati; Actinomycetota; Actinomycetes; Kitasatosporales; Streptomycetaceae.